GAUUAACGCUAGCGGCAGGCCUAAUACAUGCAAGUCGAGGGGUAACAGGGUAGCAAUACUGCUGACGACCGGCGCACGGGUGAGUAACACGUAUGCAACCUACCUAUAACUGGGGAAUAGCCUUCCGAAAGGAAGAUUAACACCGCAUAAUAUCACGAGACGGCAUCGUUUUGUGAUCAAACCUCCGGGGGUUAUAGAUGGGCAUGCGUAACAUUAGCUAGUUGGUGAGGAACGGCUCACCAAGGCGACGAUGUUUAGGGGGUCUGAGAGGAUGAUCCCCCACACUGGUACUGAGACACGGACCAGACUCCUACGGGAGGCAGCAGUAAGGAAUAUUGGACAAUGGGGGCAACCCUGAUCCAGCCAUGCCGCGUGAAGGAUGAAGGCGCUCUGCGU
Molecule: ribosomal RNA, 396 nt
Filed under: uncultured bacterium
Lineage: Bacteria
Description: bacterial SSU rRNA
Rfam family: Bacterial small subunit ribosomal RNA
Source: RNAcentral